GAUGAACGCUGGCGGCGUGCCUAAUACAUGCAAGUCGAGCGAACGGACGAGAAGCUUGCUUCUCUGAUGUUAGCGGCGGACGGGUGAGUAACACGUGGAUAACCUACCUAUAAGACUGGGAUAACUUCGGGAAACCGUAGCUAAUACCGGAUAAUAUUUUGAACCGCAUGGUUCAAAAGUGAAAGACGGUCUUGCUGUCACUUAUAGAUGGAUCCGCGCUGCAUUAGCUAGUUGGUAAGGUAACGGCUUACCAAGCCAACGAUGCAUAGCCGACCUGAGAGGGUGAUCGGCCACACUGGAACUGAGACACGGUCCAGACUCCUACGGGAGGCAGCAGUAGGGAAUCUUCCGCAAUGGGCGAAAGCCUGACGGAGCAACGCCGCGUGAGUGAUGAAGGUCUUCGGAUCGUAAAACUCUGUUAUUAGGGAAGAACAUAUGUGUAAGUAACUGUGCACAUCUUGACGGUACCUAAUCAGAAAGCCACGGCUAACUACGUG
RNAcentral lists this ribosomal RNA (497 nucleotides) under uncultured bacterium. RNAcentral's name for it is "partial 16S ribosomal RNA". It matches the Rfam family "Bacterial small subunit ribosomal RNA", at positions 28 to 507 of the family's 1533-position model. The record is from RNAcentral.